RNAcentral lists this non-coding RNA (28 nucleotides) under Mus musculus (house mouse). The record is from RNAcentral. Lineage: Eukaryota; Metazoa; Chordata; Mammalia; Rodentia; Muridae.
UGAAGAAGCUGAUGUUAGAUGGUAUAGU